GUCUGCACUUGUCGGGGAAGGGUGAGAACCCUCGAUUAAGGUUCGACUCGAGCGAAAGCGAGAGAACGUUGCCAACGGCAACGGCCCGCAGGGUGAGGAGCGAAGCGACGAAUAAUCCUUCCCCCACCACCA
RNAcentral lists this small RNA (132 nucleotides) under Salmonella enterica subsp. enterica serovar Bareilly. RNAcentral describes it as "RtT sRNA". It matches the Rfam family "RtT RNA". Rfam says of the family: This family represents a bacterial cis-regulatory element known as RtT RNA. The exact function of RtT is unknown although it is thought that it may be involved in changing the cellular response in relation to amino acid starvation. The record is from RNAcentral. Lineage: Bacteria; Pseudomonadati; Pseudomonadota; Gammaproteobacteria; Enterobacterales; Enterobacteriaceae.